Mesocricetus auratus (golden hamster) is the source of this 4295-nucleotide long non-coding RNA. RefSeq lists it as uncharacterized. Lineage: Eukaryota; Metazoa; Chordata; Mammalia; Rodentia; Cricetidae. The record is from RefSeq and is a predicted model, not a curated record. The transcript has 3 exons.
GAGAGACCAAUAAAAAAGAAAUAUCUUUCCUGACAUCUCAAGAGUCUAGCAUAGUCUUGAGCUUAAGAAACAUUAAAGAAGUUCAAGUAGAAAUGUAAAGCUACCAGAGGAUAUAAGGCUAGGUUGUGAAGUAGAGGAGCCAGAGAGCUGGGAAUAACAGACCCAAGAGCAAAGUCUGAGGGUGUGUGCAAAUACUGGAGGUGACUCCUAUAUUCGAAGUUUGAUUUCUUGAUCUCUGCACUACAACAGGACACAGCUCAAUAGUCAUUUCUUUCACUGGAUGGAUUCAUUCAGCAGUAAGUAGGACAGACAGUUUGUGGGGCUGGAGCAAACACACUGGCCAGGUUUCCAAACCUGGACAGAUUAACGUAGCUCCUGCUUUUGGACUUCUAAGUCACCCAACAGACAUUAAAUUACCUGGAACCCAGAAUUGACAUCUUGAGUCUGCUACUUUGUGUUUUUGAGGGUGGAGGGUGAUAUAAGAGGUCAAAUGUGCAGUUGAUAGUUGCUAGUUAAGCUGAAAAACCAGGGAGUUGGCUUUUCUGUGUGAUGAGUCCUCAAGAUCAAUGCUAAGAAAGAGUUUCUUACCUUUGUCAUAGUCAGGCUUGGUGUCUCUAUUACACAUGUUACAAAGACCAGGACUCUUUCAAUUAUUAACACAAUUAAAUGUCAGGGUGUGACAUGUGUGGUUAGUACAUAGAAAAUCCUUUUCUUUCUCAGGGAAGUUGUUGCAAUCAUUCAAGUAAGAAAAAAAGUAAAAGAACAAGUUAAUUGUCAUUAUCAAUGGAGUUCUCAUAUGACUCUUAUGUAAUCAUAUCCUGUAACCAUGCCAUCGUAUGGACCAGGCAAAACAUGGCUCAGGAACUCUACUUGAGUUCUUGAAAACGCAUUGACUUGGCUUGUUUCUGGGGUGAAAGUCUUGUUUGGGUCUGGAAGUUUCCUAAGGCUGGGUUCUUGAGAAAGCUGAAGGUUUUGUCUAGACAAAUGAUGUUCUCCCUGAACCUAAGGCACCUUGAUGGGGGUAGAACAGCAGGAAGAAGACGACAUUUAGAGCUGUUAAGAGAUGUCUGUGUGUCUGCCUUCCAUUCCAUGCCCUUCUAGACCCAGACAAGGUUGUAGGUGGCCCGAAUAUCCAAUAAGGGAUUUUUGAGUAGAGUAAGAAGUUAUUGUACCCUCAAAUUGUGUCUUGUCCAGUUGAUGUAAGAAAGUGGGGGAGAGAGAAGAGAAAGGAAGGAUAAUGAUUUCUGCCACUGCACUGACAACCAGAUGUGGAGAAAUCACAACCAAUAUCAUAUUGCCCCAGCGUGUGCAAGCUGGGCAGGGUCCAAAGGCAACUCAUCGAGUCUGGCAGCCUAGGCCAAGGGCCUUGGGGAAGAAAACCUGCUGGGACACAGAAAGACUUGUUUGUAGUGGAAGCAUGCCUCCUGCAUAUGGCUGAAGGUAAGAGAUGACUUUGGCUUGUCCAUAGACAAAACAUCUGGCAGAUGGAGAAAAAUCCCAACACAGCACAAGUGCAGGAAGUGAUGGUUGCUGCCAAUGAGUCUGAAGGAGAGAUUUCAGGGCUUCCAUGAGUUCUUUAGAGCAGAAAGGGCCUGCUGAGGUGAUCAGGAACCUGUCAGAGAUAUUGUAAGAAGUCACAGCAACAAGAGGGGGCUGUGUCCUUUCAUCACCAAGGACAAUUUCAGUUCUUUUUCUGCACAUGUUGAUUUCUCACACUAUUGUUAGAAAUAAAACAAACAAACAAAACAGUGCUUAGGAUCUGGAAGGUAGUUCAACCAGUAGAGUGCUUACUGGUACAAGCAACAGGACCUGAGUUCAAACCCCACAUCCCAUGUAAAAAAAGCAACAGCUGGCAUACCUGUGAUCUCAGUUUUGGGAAGAUGUAGUUGGGUGGAUCCCUGAGACUCCCUGGUCAACCAAUCUAGCCAAAUGGGCAAAGCUCACAUUAGUGAGGGAAUGUGUUUCAAAAAAUAAGAUGGAAGCCAGUUCAGCUAUCUCAGUUGACAGAGCAUGAGACUCUUAAUUUCAGGGUUGUGGGUUCAUGCCCCAUGUUGGGCACCAGAUAUUGCUUGGGGAUCAAGAUUCACUAGACUCAGUACAGCCUAAGUGAAGUUUAUUCAGAGAGAGUGCACUUACAAAAAAAGCAGGUAACUGCCACAGGUUCCAGUUCCGAGGAUCCACCCAGGCUGUCCUCUGUGACCCAACUAGAAGCAAAAGAGCAUACUGGGGUCGGAACACCAGAUCUUGUCCUACCUGUGACCACACCCAAAUGGGCGUGGUCAGUGCUACAGGUGUGUGUGGGGGUGAAUAUCUCACUACAAUAGUAUGUAGUUCCUGAGGAAUUACAUCCAGGAUUGACCUCUGGCCUCCAUUCACAUGCACACAUGUGCAAGUAAGUGUACCUAUACAUGUGUACCUGUGUACAUUUACAUGUUCACACACAUACACACACACUAUGCUUAACUUAAGCUAGUUAAUUCUCUGUCUUAUUAGGACACAGUUUCUAGGCAGAGUCCACAAUACCAUUUGUUUCAUUUUGUUGUCAUUUUGUAUACAGAAAUUUGAUUUCCAUAAGACCUCAAUUUGUAUCAAAGAAUGCCAAUCUCUAGCUUCUUUGCCAAAAAGAACCUUGCCAAAUUGAGAUCAGUUUUGAAAAACCAAAGAAAAAUGAAUGUGUCUUAAAGGUUUAAUUGUAUUAUUUCCCUCUUUAUCUUUUGAUGACUUUGACAGAUGGGACUCUCACAAUAUACUCAUUGUUCAGCUGGAAACCCCAUGAAGUUGUAACCUGAACCCCUUGUCCCUGAGGCCAUUUGAUGGCCUUCAUCCAAUGGUAUCUGUGGACCCCAGUGGAGAGCAUGUCUGUUCUCCAUCUCUGGCUCUGGGAGAGACAAGGUUACCAUCAAGACUGCCGUACCAUGAAGAUCUGGAUAGGAGGGUACCAGAAACUCUGACUGUGAACAGUAAAAGAAACUACUAUGGAAAAUGAAGCCUUGGGAGAUCACUGGCAUUCUAAAUGGCAUGGCAGUGAAUGAAAAGGAAACACAGAGACAAACAGUACCAUGAAAGUUUGCCAAGAAGGAACUGCAUAGACCAUGAUUUGAGACUUCCCACCAAACUCUAGGAGCUACAAUUCAAUAGAUAAAGUGUUUAAAUCUCUUAAGGGAAAGAGGUACUAACAUAGACUCUACACCAAACCAAAUUAGCAAUCAGUUAUGAGAGCAAACUAAAGACAUGUUCAGACACUAACAACAAUGUCAAAAUAGUCAUUCAUCUCUGCCUGCUCCCUCUCAUUCCUGGACACAUUAUUUUUCUGGGAAAAUGCUGUGUGUGAGUUCCAAACCAAGACAAGCAAUUCAGGAAGUUAGGGCCCAUGGCCAGAGAAACUAAAGGAAUUCCCAAGGUAAAGAUCAAGAAAGGCCCAUAAGAACUUCUGAGAGAUAACCAAACAACUAGUCCAGAUCAGAAUGAGAAAACAGAGUUCAAGGAGGAGACUCAUCAACAAAUGACACCAAAACAUAAAACUAGUAUGUUAGACUACAUAGGGACUUAAUCAUACAAGGAAAGGGAAAGAAUAGAGAAGAGAAAUGGGUGGGGAGUCGGAAUGUAACAUAUUAGGAAAACAACCAAUAAACAUCUAGAGUAUUAGGAUUUUUCUAAGGAUGAAAUCAUGACCAUAUCAGGGCAAUGGGCAAGAUGUCAAGAUGGAGAGGAAAGGCCAGAAUUAGCGCUAUUUAAACCAAGGAGGAUGAUGGUGACGGGGAGGGGUCUUGUAGACAGGAGGCACGGAGAAGAGAACAGAAUUCACAGACAUGUGUAAGGUCUCUGAGAACACAGAGAAUAACGUCUUCACAUGAAACAGGAGAAUAGCCUCAAGAAGAUUUAAUCUUUUUUUUCAAGCACGGCAAUGGUGUAAAGUUGAAAUCUUCCUGUUUUCUUUUAAAAUAAAAUUAUGUAAAACAAAACUCACCAGGGUUUGAUAUACCCCAAGAGUUCUGUAAACACAGCCUACAUCUAAGUUCAACUGUCUCAUCAAUCCCUGGAGGAAUUGUCUGUCCCUUAAUACCCCUAUUUUCAAACCCUUCAAGACUAGGUGCACUAUGCUAUGCAUAUGGGAUUUUGAGUUCUACAAUGUAGCCUACACAAUCUGUCAUGUUGCGUGAUAGUCUUCUUCCAUUCAAUAUAGAGUAUUCAAGAUUUAACCCUGGCAUAGCGUGUGUAUUUUUAACUAUUAUUAUCUUAUGUAAAUACGCCUUGGUAUUGUUUUUCCCAGGCCAUCAACAUUCAGAUUAUUUCUA